UACGUAGGGGGCAAGCGUUAUCCGGAUUUACUGGGUGUAAAGGGAGCGUAGACGGCGAUGCAAGCCAGAUGUGAAAGCCCGGGGCUCAACCCCGGGACUGCAUUUGGAACUGUAUAGCUAGAGUGCCGGAGAGGCAGGCGGAAUUCCUAGUGUAGCGGUGAAAUGCGUAGAUAUUAGGAAGAACACCAGUGGCGAAGGCGGCCUGCUGGACGAUGACUGACGUUGAGGCUCGAAAGCGUGGGGAGCAAACAGG
RNAcentral lists this ribosomal RNA (253 nucleotides) under uncultured bacterium. Its description in RNAcentral is "partial 16S ribosomal RNA". It matches the Rfam family "Bacterial small subunit ribosomal RNA", at positions 524 to 776 of the family's 1533-position model. The record is from RNAcentral.